Molecule: ribosomal RNA, 202 nt
Filed under: Candidatus Woesearchaeota archaeon
Lineage: Archaea; Nanobdellati; Candidatus Woesearchaeota
Description: partial 16S ribosomal RNA
Rfam family: Archaeal small subunit ribosomal RNA
Source: RNAcentral
UCAUGACAACGGAAUCCCUAGUAAUCGGACCUCAUCACAGUCCGGUGAAUAUGUCCCUGCUCUUUGCACACACCGCCCGUCAAACCAACCGAGUUGGGUCUGGGUGAGACGCAGCUUCGAGUUGCAUCAAAUCCAGAUUCGGUGAGGUGGGUUAAGUCGUCACAAGGUAGCCGUAGGGGAACCUACGGCUGGAUCACCUCCU